Molecule: ribosomal RNA, 459 nt
Filed under: uncultured bacterium
Lineage: Bacteria
Description: partial 16S ribosomal RNA
Rfam family: Bacterial small subunit ribosomal RNA
Source: RNAcentral
AGCGAACGCUGGCGGCAGGCCUAACACAUGCAAGUCGAACGAACCUUUCGGGGUUAGUGGCGGACGGGUGAGUAACACGUGGGAACGUGCCUUUAGGUUCGGAAUAACUCAGGGAAACUUGUGCUAAUACCGAAUGUGCCCUUCGGGGGAAAGAUUUAUCGCCUUUAGAGCGGCCCGCGUCUGAUUAGCUAGUUGGUUGAGGUAAUGGCUCACCAAGGCGACGAUCAGUAGCUGGUCUGAGAGGAUGAUCAGCCACAUUGGGACUGAGACACGGCCCAAACUCCUACGGGAGGCAGCAGUGGGGAAUCUUGCGCAAUGGGCGAAAGCCUGACGCAGCCAUGCCGCGUGAAUGAUGAAGGUCUUAGGAUUGUAAAACUCUGUUAUUAGGGAAGAACAAAUGUGUAAGUAACUAUGCACGUCUUGACGGUACCUAAUCAGAAAGCCACGGCUAACUACGUG